GAAAUGCGAUAAGUAAUGCGAAUUGCAGAUUUCAGUGAAUCAUCGAAUCUUUGAACGCACAUUGCACCCGGCGGCCAUUCCGCCGGGUCUGCCUGUCCGAGCGUCGUUUCACCCCUCGAGUCCAAACACUCGGUGGACUCGAGGGGUGA
RNAcentral lists this unclassified non-coding RNA (149 nucleotides) under uncultured fungus. Its description in RNAcentral is "sequence contains ITS1". The stretch from base 1 to 106 matches the Rfam family "5.8S ribosomal RNA", at positions 50 to 154 of the family's 154-position model. Rfam says of the family: 5.8S ribosomal RNA (5.8S rRNA) is a component of the large subunit of the eukaryotic ribosome. It is transcribed by RNA polymerase I as part of the 45S precursor that also contains 18S and 28S rRNA. Lineage: Eukaryota; Fungi. The record is from RNAcentral.